This 99-nucleotide transfer RNA is filed under the name Aspergillus rambellii. It matches the Rfam family "tRNA". From Rfam's summary of the family: Transfer RNA (tRNA) molecules are approximately 80 nucleotides in length. The record is from Rfam by way of RNAcentral. Lineage: Eukaryota; Fungi; Ascomycota; Eurotiomycetes; Eurotiales; Aspergillaceae. RNAcentral also lists the same sequence under 1 other name.
GGGGUGAUGGCUCAGUUGGGAGAGCGUAUGACUGAAGAUCAACUUCAAUCCAGCCACCAGGCAAUCAUAAGGUCCCCGGUUCGAUCCCGGGUCACCCCA